This 253-nucleotide ribosomal RNA is filed under the name uncultured bacterium. RNAcentral describes it as "partial 16S ribosomal RNA". It matches the Rfam family "Bacterial small subunit ribosomal RNA", at positions 524 to 776 of the family's 1533-position model. The record is from RNAcentral.
UACGGAGGGCGCGAGCGUUACCCGGAUUUACUGGGCGUAAAGGGCGUGUAGGCGGUCUGGGGCGUCCCAUGUGAAAGGCCACGGCUCAACCGUGGAGGAGCGUGGGAUACGCUCAGGCUAGACGGUGGGAGAGGGUGGUGGAAAUCCCGGAGUAGCGGUGAAAUGCGCAGAUACCGGGAGGAACGCCGAUGGCGAGGGCAGCCACCUGGUUCACUGGUGACGCUGAGGCGCGAAAGCGUGGGGAGCAAACCGG